ACGCCAGACUCCUACGGGAGGCAGCAGUGGGGGAUAUUGCACAAUGGGGGGAACCCUGGUGCAGCGACGCCGCGUGGGUGAAGGAGUAUUUCGGUAUGUAAAGCCCUAUCGGCAGGGAAGAAAUUGGACGGUACCUGACUAAGAAGCCCCGGCUAACUACGUGCCAGCAGCCGCGGUAAUACGUAGGGGGCAAGCGUUAUCCGGAUUCACUGGGUGUAAAGGGAGCGUAGACGGCCAGGCAAGCCAGGAGUGAAAGCCCGGGGCCCAACCCCGGGACUGCUCUUGGAACUGCGUGGCUGGAGUGCAGGAGGGGCAGGCGGAAUUCCUGGUGUAGCGGUGAAAUGCGUAGAUAUCAGGAGGAACACCGGUGGCGAAGGCGGCCUGCUGGACUGCAACUGACGUUGAGGCCCGAAAGCGUGGGGAGCAAACAGGAUUAGAUACCCUUGUA
This 448-nucleotide ribosomal RNA is filed under the name uncultured bacterium. RNAcentral's name for it is "bacterial SSU rRNA". It matches the Rfam family "Bacterial small subunit ribosomal RNA", at positions 328 to 792 of the family's 1533-position model. The record is from RNAcentral.